RNAcentral lists this long non-coding RNA (195 nucleotides) under Falco tinnunculus (common kestrel). RNAcentral describes it as "lncRNA (ENSFTIG00000010040.1)". The record is from RNAcentral. Lineage: Eukaryota; Metazoa; Chordata; Aves; Falconiformes; Falconidae.
AUGAUGAGCAUGAAAAAAAAAAUGUUUGAAAAAGAGAAUGAGGAUUUCAAAGAAGAGGUUUUUAAACUGCACAAUGAGAUUUCGCGUCUCGAAAAUGCUCUGAAACACUCUGAAAAAAGAAACUAUUUAUUAGAUAAGCAAGUUCAAAGAAUGCGGUCAAAAAUGGACACAGAUGAGCAACUGUUCAAAAGUUGA